CUUUACAUACGGUAGUCAAAAGACAUCUCCCCGUCAAAGUUCUUUAAGUAAGAUUCUAAAUUCCAAACAUUAUAUACUAUUUUUUUAAGUUAUAUUCUAAACUAGUUUAACGUAUAUUAAAACUAGUUUAGAAUAUAACUUAAAAAAAUAGUAUAUAAUGUUUGGAAUUUAGAAUCUUACUUAAAGAACUUUGACGGGGAGAUGUCUUUUGACUACCGUAUGUAAAGAUGCCUGAUGAUGGUCCAAUAAAGGAUCGAAACGUCGCAUGAAUUUGCAAUUGGUGGUUUGAUUGGCACCCUAUGUCCACUUUCCUGCUAAUCGUCAAAGAAUAUGUU
Molecule: unclassified non-coding RNA, 335 nt
Filed under: Melitaea cinxia (Glanville fritillary)
Lineage: Eukaryota; Metazoa; Arthropoda; Insecta; Lepidoptera; Nymphalidae
Description: misc RNA ENSMCXG00005021066.1
Source: RNAcentral